UUUUAUAGGAUUAUUUAGAGCUAGGCUUGUAUAUGCUUUUAGAAGCCUGGUGAUCUCUGUGCUAUCAAGUCGUUUUUGAUACUGAAAUUUCCGAAUCGACAAUUUAUUUUGUUAGACUUAAUUUAAAGUAUUUAAAAAAUAAAUUUCAUAAUUUUUCAAUAUCAUUUACCUAAUUAUUGAAGAGGCCGAAAAUCAAUAAUUUUAAUGAUCGUGGUGAAACAUUUGCAAGUUUAAUGAUUUAGAAAAAUGAAAAUCAUAUAAUAUUUUGAUAGAAAAUUUAUUAUACUACAUAAAAUAAAAUCAAUAUUUUUGAUCUAAAAUUUUUGUAUCAUAUUAUCACUUUUUAUAAGAUUUUUUUAUUUUUAGCUAUUAAUUUUGAGUCAUUUCAAUCGCUAAGUAAAUGAUAUUGAAAAAUCACGAAAUUAAUUUUUCUAGAUACUUUCAAUAUUCUAUAUCAAGUCUAACGAAACCGACCGUUGAUUUAAAAUUCAAGUAUUAAGAGCGACUUGAUAUGCACCUCAAAACCAACUUAAAAAAAAAAAAAAAAAAAUCUUUCGUGCAUAGUCCUCUAAAAUUUGACGAGGGUACGUAAAAAUAAAGAUAAACUUUAAAUACCACCUCUAUAGUUUUGUACUUUCUCACUUUAGUACCAUGUGGUUUAAAGUGUAUCAAUUUAGUACCCCAUAGUUUCAUUUUUAUCUUUUCGUCAGCUUUUUCGUUAAUAUUUCGUUAAAUUAUAUACAAAAAACUUCAAAUACCUAUCCGGUGAUUUCACACUUUCUCACAUUAGUACCCUAUGGUUUAAAGUGUAUUAAUUUAGUAUCAUGUGGUUUAUUUUAACUUUUUAUUAUUGAUUCCACUAAUUUUUUUCGUUAAAUCAGUGACAAAGUUAAAAUUAAGAGAUACUAAAGUGAAUAUUCGAUAAACCUAGGUAGGGUAUUUGAAGUUUCCUUAAUAAUAGAAAAAACUUCAAAAACCACCCUUGUGGUUUCACACUUUCUCACAUUAGUACCCUAUGGUUUAAAGUGUAUUAAUUUAGUAUCAUGUGGUUUAUUUUAACUUUUUAUUAUUGAUUCCACUAAUUUUUUUCGUUAAAUCAGUGACAAAGUUAAAAUUAAGAGAUACUAAAGUGAAUAUUCGAUAAACCUAGGUAGGGUAUUUGAAGUUUCCUUAAUAAUAGAAAAAACUUCAAAAACCACCCUUGUGGUUUCACACUUUCUCACAUUAGUACCCUAUGGUUUAAAGUGUAUUAAUUUAGUAUCAUGUGGUUUAUUUUAACUUUUUAUUAUUGAUUCCACUAAUUUUUUUCGUUAAAUCAGUGACAAAGUUAAAAUUAAGAGAUACUAAAGUGAAUAUUCGAUAAACCUAGGUAGGGUAUUUGAAGUUUCCUUAAUAAUAGAAAAAACUUCAAAAACCACCCUUGUGGUUUCACACUUUCUCACAUUAGUACCCUAUGGUUUAAAGUGUAUCAAUUUAGUACCCCAUAGUUUCAUUUUUAUCUUUUCGUCAGCUUUUUCGUUAAUAUUUCGUUAAAUUAUAUACAAAAAAUUUCAAAUACCCCACCUAGGUUUAUCGNUUUGCAAGUUUAAUGAUUUAGAAAAAUGAAAAUCAUAUAAUAUUUUGAUAGAAAAUUUAUUAUACUACAUAAAAUAAAAUCAAUAUUUUUGAUCUAAAAUUUUUGUAUCAUAUUAUCACUUUUUAUAAGAUUUUUUUAUUUUUAGCUAUUAAUUUUGAGUCAUUUCAAUCGCUAAGUAAAUGAUAUUGAAAAAAAAAAAAAAAAAUCUUUCGUGCAUAGUCCUCUAAAAUUUGACGAGGGUACGUAAAAAUAAAGAUAAACUUUAAAUACCACCUCUAUAGUUUUGUACUUUCUCACUUUAGUACCAUGUGGUUUAAAGUGUAUCAAUUUAGCAUCCUAUUUUUUCAUUUUUCUCUUUUUAUCGGUCCCUCCAUUAACUUUUCGUUAAAUCAUAUACCAAAAACUUCAGACACUCUAUUUGUAGGUUAUCGAAUAUUCACUUUAGUGCUCUUUAGUUUUAACUUUGUCACUGAUUUAGCGAAAAAAAAAUUAAUAGAUGGGAUAACAAAAAGCGAAAAAUAAAACAACAGAGUACAAAAAUGAUACACUUUAAAGCACAUAGUACUAAAGUGAGAAAGUGCGAAACUAAAGGAAUGGUAUUUGAAGUUUUUCCUAAAAUUAAAUUUCGUGCUCCAUC
RNAcentral lists this long non-coding RNA (2213 nucleotides) under Ananas comosus (pineapple). RNAcentral's name for it is "long non-coding RNA (ACOM_LNC028563)". Lineage: Eukaryota; Viridiplantae; Streptophyta; Magnoliopsida; Poales; Bromeliaceae. The record is from RNAcentral.